UGAUAACAGCUGCAUCUCUGGGGGGCCGGGGGUAUAGCUCAGCGGCACAGCGCCUGCCUGACAAGUACGAGGUCAUGAGUUUGAUUCCCAGUACCACAAACAAAACAAAACAAAAAGUAAAUUGAUAAUGGGUACCAUUAAAGAAAACAAAAAGAAAAACAGCUGCAUCUCUCUGACAGGACCCAGGGAGGACCUGCUCUGGCCAAGCACUGCCUCAUGGCUCUACCAGAAAGCUCCAGGUCUGAAGGAGACACCUGCAAAUCAAGGGUCAUCCUAUAUUUCUUUUCUCCUAUCAGAAGGCCAGCAGGUUGUCUGGGUUACGAAGCAUUCAGCAUAGAAUGAAACCCGCUAAUUUUCACCAGCCCUGGGGACAGAGACAUCAUCUGAUAUAAUAUUUCCUCCUCUUCACCCUGGCAAGCUCUGCCAAACCAGACUUGAGAGAAGCAACAGCGUGUAAUGUGCUCCGAUAUAGUGAGGCUAAUACUAAGUAGGAAAAGUGGGAAGUGCUCCUGAAAUCUGCUGCGGGAACUGAAAAAUUCCAAGGAGAACAAAAGUGACAAAUCCCUGCAAUAUGCUACAUUUUUAUUCCCUGAAGAUGGAAGGUGCUGCAGCAUAUUCAUUUUGAGAGACUGAAUCAAACAUCUUAUGAGUUACCAGUUUUUUAAAAAAAUUUUGCUUUAAAAAUAUAAAUUUGAACCGGGCGUGGCAGCACACGCC
Molecule: long non-coding RNA, 717 nt
Filed under: Chinchilla lanigera (long-tailed chinchilla)
Lineage: Eukaryota; Metazoa; Chordata; Mammalia; Rodentia; Chinchillidae
Description: lncRNA (ENSCLAG00000027306.1)
Rfam family: tRNA (bases 28-99)
Source: RNAcentral